RNAcentral lists this transfer RNA (70 nucleotides) under Lachnospiraceae bacterium. RNAcentral describes it as "tRNA-Arg". It matches the Rfam family "tRNA", at positions 10 to 71 of the family's 71-position model. Rfam says of the family: Transfer RNA (tRNA) molecules are approximately 80 nucleotides in length. Their secondary structure includes four short double-helical elements and three loops (D, anti-codon, and T loops). The record is from RNAcentral. Lineage: Bacteria; Bacillati; Bacillota; Clostridia; Lachnospirales; Lachnospiraceae.
GCUCAGCUGGAUAGAGCGUCUGGCUACGGACCAGAAGGUCGGGGGUUCGAAUCCUCUAGCACACGAUCCA